Small nuclear RNA from Herpailurus yagouaroundi (jaguarundi), 103 nucleotides. The record is from RefSeq and is a predicted model, not a curated record. NCBI's taxonomy places the organism in Eukaryota, Metazoa, Chordata, Mammalia, Carnivora, Felidae.
UCUGUCUCAGAAAUAAAUUAACAAACAAAAAAAAAAAAAAUUGGAACAAUACAGAGAUUAGCAUGGCCCCUAUGCAAGGAUGGCACAAAUUCGCCAAGUAUUC